UUCAACGGAAGAAUUGCAUCUGAAACUGCGAGUCUUGAGUGUAGGAGGGGAGAAUGGAACUUCUGGUGGAGCGGUGAAAUGCGUAGAUAUCAGAAGGAACGCCGGCGGCGAAAGCGAUUCUCUGGCCUAUUACUGACACUCAGUGUGCGAAAGCUAGGGGAGCAAACGGGAUUAGAUACCCCGGUAGUCCUAGCCGUAAACGAUGGGCACUAAGUAGAGGGAAUUACCGAUGUUCUCUCUGCCGUAGCUAACGCAUUAAGUGCCCCGCCUGGGGAGUACGGCCGCAAGGCUAAAACUCAAAAGAAUUGACGGGGGCUCGCACAAGCGGUGGAGCAUGUGGCUUAAUUCGAUGCAACGCGAAAAACCUUACCGGGGCUUGACAUGGUAGAAGUAGGAACCCGAAAGGGUAACGAACGGUAUCCAGUCCGUAGCUAUCACAGGUGUUGCAUGGCUGUCGUCAGCUCGUGUCGUGAGACGUUGGGUUAAGUCCCCUAACGAGCGAAACCCUUGUUUUUAGUUACCAGCGGGUUAUGCCGGGUACUCUAGAAAGACUGCCGUCGUCAAGACGGAGGAAGGUGGGGAUGACGUCAAGUCAUCAUGGCCCUUAUGCCCCGGGCUGCACACGUGCUACAAUGGUCGGUACAAACGGAUGCGAAGCCGAGAGGUGAAGCGAAUCCAAGC
RNAcentral lists this ribosomal RNA (681 nucleotides) under uncultured Planctomycetota bacterium. RNAcentral describes it as "bacterial SSU rRNA". It matches the Rfam family "Bacterial small subunit ribosomal RNA", at positions 608 to 1278 of the family's 1533-position model. The record is from RNAcentral. Lineage: Bacteria; Pseudomonadati; Planctomycetota.